UACAGAGGGUGCAAGCGUUGUUCGGAAUUAUUGGGCGUAAAGGGCGCGUAGGCGGUGCCACAAGUCACCUGUGAAAUCUCCGGGCUUAACUCGGAGCCUGCAGGCGAAACUGUGGUGCUGGAGUGUGGGAGAGGUGCGUGGAAUUCCCGGUGUAGCGGUGAAAUGCGUAGAUAUCGGAAGGAACACCAGUGGCGAAGGCGACUUCCUGGACCGUUACUGACACUGAGGCGCGAAAGCGUGGGGAGCGAACAGG
RNAcentral lists this ribosomal RNA (253 nucleotides) under uncultured bacterium. RNAcentral describes it as "partial 16S ribosomal RNA". It matches the Rfam family "Bacterial small subunit ribosomal RNA", at positions 524 to 776 of the family's 1533-position model. The record is from RNAcentral.